RNAcentral lists this ribosomal RNA (468 nucleotides) under uncultured bacterium. RNAcentral describes it as "partial 16S ribosomal RNA". It matches the Rfam family "Bacterial small subunit ribosomal RNA", at positions 28 to 507 of the family's 1533-position model. The record is from RNAcentral.
GACGAACGCUGGCGGCGUGCUUAACACAUGCAAGUCGAACGGACAGGCCCUGCUUUUGUUGGGUUCUCGAUUGGCGAACGGGUGAGUAACACGUGAGUAUCCUGCCCUUGACUUUGGGAUAACUUCAGGAAACUGGGGCUAAUACCCGAUAUGAGCUCCUGCUGCAUGUUGGGCGUUGGUGAGUUUCGGCGGUGUUGGCUGGUCUCGCUGCUUAUCAGCUGGAUGGUGGGGUAGUUGCGUUCCAAGGUUUUGACGGGUCGGCCGCAUUGGAGGGUGACCAGGCACCAGAGGCCUGCGGUACGGACCAGACUCGUACGGGAGGCAGCAGUGGGGAAUCUUGCACAAUGGGCGGACGCCAGAUGCAGCAGCGCCGCGUGCGGAAUGACGGCCUUCGAGUUGUAAACCGAUUUCGAAUGUGCCGAAGAGUGAGUGACGGUAAUGGGUAAAGAAGCACCGGCUAACUACGUG